RNAcentral lists this ribosomal RNA (235 nucleotides) under uncultured bacterium. RNAcentral describes it as "partial 16S ribosomal RNA". It matches the Rfam family "Bacterial small subunit ribosomal RNA", at positions 111 to 334 of the family's 1533-position model. The record is from RNAcentral.
UAACACGUAACUGACCUGUCCUCGAAACUGGGAUAACCAUUCGAAAGGAUGGCUAAUACUGGAUAAGCCCACGGGUUUGGACCUGAGGGAAAAGGCGCGGGAUUCUUCGGAACCGCGCAUUUGAGGAGGGGGUUGCGGCCCAUCAGCUAGUUGGCGGGGUAAAGCCCACCAAGGCGAAGACGGGUAGCUGGUCUGAGAGGAUGAUCAGCCACACUGGAACUGAGACACGGUCCAG